GACAGAGGUGCCGAGCGUUGAGCGGAAUCACUGGGCUUAAAGCGUGUGUAGGCGGAUCUGUAAGUACCUUGUGAAAUCCCACGGCUCAACCGUGGAACUGCUUGGUAUACUGCGGGUCUUGAGCCACCUAGGGGCAAGUGGAACAAACGGUGGAGCGGUGAAAUGCGUAGAUAUCGUUUGGAACGCCAAUGGUGAAAACAACUUGCUGGGGGUGUGCUGACGCUGAGACACGAAAGCCAGGGGAGCGAAACGGG
Molecule: ribosomal RNA, 254 nt
Filed under: uncultured bacterium
Lineage: Bacteria
Description: partial 16S ribosomal RNA
Rfam family: Bacterial small subunit ribosomal RNA
Source: RNAcentral